Molecule: non-coding RNA, 487 nt
Organism: Paramormyrops kingsleyae
Lineage: Eukaryota; Metazoa; Chordata; Actinopteri; Osteoglossiformes; Mormyridae
Source: RefSeq, a predicted model, not a curated record
GAAGGGGGCAGUAACGGACGUAUAUAUCUGCGUCGCCUUCGGUCGUCUUUCUUGCACCCCUCCCCAGCUUCUCUUUCUCCUAUUUUUACUCGUGUGCAAGAACAUGCUAUCUCAGCAUCAAGCCUCUGCGCCGUAUCGUUUUCCUGCGGAAACAGGGAGGGGGGGAUCUCCAUGGAAAAGGUAAUCGCUUACUGGAAACCUCUCAUUAUUGGACCCCAGAUCUGGCCCCAUCAAGAGAUGCUCACCCAAAAGAAGAUUAAAGCGAGAAGGAAAAGGCGAAAGGAGUUGUUUUGGGGGCAGAUGAGCUUCAUAGGCUUGUCCCUCCUGUGUCUGUCGGCUCUGUCUUCUCUGGCUGGACAUUCAGGAUUCUCCGUGUCCAGUGCCGUCACUGCAGACAGCCAUGGCAGCUGGGGCAGUCGCCGGCUACUGCAGACGCCAAGGAGGAACGACACGGUGCACCAGAUGGAGAAGAACUGCACGGAACCAG